GAGGCCGUAGCUCAACGGCAGAGCGCCCGGGCAACCGGGAGGCGAGGGUUCGACUCCCUCUGGCUUCUCCA
Molecule: transfer RNA, 71 nt
Filed under: Hyphomicrobiales bacterium
Lineage: Bacteria; Pseudomonadati; Pseudomonadota; Alphaproteobacteria; Hyphomicrobiales
Description: Rhizobiales bacterium (sediment metagenome) tRNA-OTHER
Rfam family: tRNA
About the family: Transfer RNA (tRNA) molecules are approximately 80 nucleotides in length.
Source: RNAcentral